UGCGUGUCAUGCACGUUUUGAUAGCUCGAUUUGCGUCGAUUGCGGGGUGGGAGGGGGGGGCUAGUAGCGGCGUAGCCAAGUGGGGCACGCCGGGCACUUGUAACGCUCACUAACAGUAAAUUUUUUGCUACUAUGGCAAUGACCCCGCUCCUUCCCCCUCCACGGUCAAUUGGGACCCCACCCCCCCUCACACGAAAAAAAAUUUCUGGCUGCACCACUGUGGGGAGGGGGGUGUAAGAUUGCUCCAGACCCCUCCCCCUAACUUGUCAACGGAAACGGGGGAGGGUUGGGCCGCUGCCACCGGGCCGCAAGCCUUAGGCAGCCCAAUUACCGGCUGCAUUUCCCUUUGGACGUGAAUACUGCUCUAAUGUCAUUACACUGUAGGAUUCGUGCCGGUUCGAGGGCCCCCAUGCGACAAUAAAAAAACACAUACAGCCAUCAGCAAGUCUUAGCUUGAGCAGAUCUUUGGGAGCUGGGCAAGACUCUCAUAAAAAAAAAAAAGCUUGGCACCCCUCUUACAUGCAUUGUCAACUCUGGGUCACCGCUGACUGCACAUUUCCGGUAAAAAAAAUCACACAGGAACUCCUCUCGGAUUUGUCUAAGUAUGCGUAAGCAUUGUGACUCUUCCUCAUCCACAUGCAGUCCAUGUCGUUAUCAAUGUUAUGAGACUUGAUCCGACGAGUAUAAGCGACAGCGCUGCGGCGACACGAGCUGCUGUGGUCGGCGGCGCGAAGUGAACGGUGCAAGCAAAGUACUGCAGGUGGCGGGGCCAGGUGCGCUGUGACGUUACGUUCGUUUUGAGCCGUUAUCGCUCUUUAGCACUUCUCAACCGCGUCGAACCAUUAUCAACCGUUCUCCGGCGGCGGCGGCUGCUUGUGGCACGGCCGCGCGAACCGUAUCUGGAAAGCGAACUGCAAUUUGGACAGAGCGUGCCCACUGCUGAAAACUUCACGCGCUGUGUUCUCACCGUUUACUUCGCUUUGAAAACAGACGCGCGUACACCUAUCUUGAAAGUGAUCUGCGAAAAGAGCAUAGUGCGGCAUAAGCUGAGAGCUUCGUGAGCGCUGUGUUCUCGCCGCUUCAGUCGCGUUGAAGCGAGAGCUAGCACGAAGGUGAAUUCACUCGCUGCUGCGGGUUCUAUCUUGAAAGGUAUCGUGCGGUACGGACUGACGGACGGAUGGUUUUUAUUUGUGGGUAAUUAUAGAAAUGCUUACGUUAUAAAAAAAAUCGCAGGGUUCGCGGAUGUCGCGAUAACAACCAACUCCGUCUUGAUCGCCCCCUCCCCACCCCGGGAAAAGGGACACUACGCUUCUACCUCAGUAGAAGAAACGAUGAUGACACGUUAACGACAAGAACGGCAUCUUCUAACGCGUUGUCUUAUGGCCUCCGAGAUUUGCGCGCAAAGCUGGCGCGCGCGAACCUGGGGGGCCAUAAUUGGCUGCUUAAUAGCAUUAAAGGACAAAAAGAUAAUACCAAACGACACAGUAAAAAUGCAAACAAAGAACUGAUCUUCGCUAUACUGUUUGGGGAAAAGAAAUAAAAAAAUUAGACAGCCGCAACACACGCCACUAAAGCCACCACCGCCGGCAUAACGCGGAACCAACAGUUGGCAACAUUCAUUCGCGCUUCAUUGUCCGCUUCGUCUCCGCAACGAGAGCCGCCAUCCUUUCGCGCCGGCCGUGUUGUCAUAGUUUUGUUUUUCUGCAAGUCCGCGCACGCAGCUCAUCGGUAGCUGCACGGGUGCACGGCGUCGCAUUGCGACCUGCGGCAUUUUCUCGUGUUCGCGCAAUCGGUGUGAAACAUGUCGCAUGUGAAAUAUUUGAUAGAAGUGCCUCACGUCCAAGUCAAGCCGCCGUACGGGUGUACGGCUGUGUGCCCCGUUCUCGGAAUCGUCGACGGGUUUCCGGCAUGCGGAUUUCAGCGUUUGGACUCGACUUUUGGUGAGGAUGUCGAUCGACCUUGGGCCUGGUGACAGCACACCCGACAUGGCCAAAGUGCAGCCUAUCAGUUGAGUGCCCCCGAAUGGACCAUCAACAUCGGAAAAUGAAACAGAGCCAGGGGGAAAAGGUUCCGGUAACACCAUGCAUUCAGUAUGGUGGCCCAGACGUGUAUGCAAGCAAUCUCCUUCAUGUGGACCAAGAACUACUCUGCAGUGUCUCGCAGACUUCCAUGCGAAGUCCUCAACAUUCUCGUCUCAGUAGAAUGGCUGCUCAUCUAUCUGCGUGUCCAUCACCAAGACGGCCAGUUGUAAAGCUCCUGUACCCGUUUAAGAAAGCUUAAUGAUUUUUUUAUUUAGUUUUCACAGUUGGCCGUAGAAUCUUAAAAUUUUUGAUGCUUACAACAUUUUUACCUGGCACAAAGUGGUGCAAUAACUUUAAACCAGUGUAAUGUAUUUAAGUGAUGCUCACUCUAAUGCCUAUCUGGUUUUGUUAGUGUUUAAGAAAUUUGUA
Non-coding RNA from Dermacentor andersoni, 2450 nucleotides. The record is from RefSeq and is a predicted model, not a curated record. NCBI's taxonomy places the organism in Eukaryota, Metazoa, Arthropoda, Arachnida, Ixodida, Ixodidae.